GACGAACGCUGGCGGCGUGCCUAAUACAUGCAAGUAGAACGCUGAAGGAGGAGCUUGCUUCUCUGGAUGAGUUGCGAACGGGUGAGUAACGCGUAGGUAACCUGCCUGGUAGCGGGGGAUAACUAUUGGAAACGAUAGCUAAUACCGCAUAAGAGUAGAUGUCGCAUGACAUUUGCUUAAAAGGUGCGAUUGCAUCACUACCAGAUGGACCUGCGUUGUAUUAGCUAGUUGGUGAGGUAACGGCUCACCAAGGCAACGAUACAUAGCCGACCUGAGAGGGUGAUCGGCCACACUGGGACUGAGACACGGCCCAGACUCCUACGGGAGGCAGCAGUAGGGAAUCUUCGGCAAUGGACGGAAGUCUGACCGAGCAACGCCGCGUGAGUGAAGAAGGUUUUCGGAUCGUAAAGCUCUGUUGUAAGAGAAGAACGAGUGUGAGAGUGGAAAGUUCACACUGUGACGGUAUCUUACCAGAAAGGGACGGCUAACUACGUG
RNAcentral lists this ribosomal RNA (495 nucleotides) under uncultured bacterium. RNAcentral's name for it is "partial 16S ribosomal RNA". It matches the Rfam family "Bacterial small subunit ribosomal RNA", at positions 28 to 507 of the family's 1533-position model. The record is from RNAcentral.